CCAGGGAAUGACAGGAUAGUACUUUUAAGUAGGCCGCCACUGGAUUCUUCAAAAUCCUUACCUUUUACCACUUAUGAUUACAUUGUGUAUUUUCCCAUCUCAUUCGACGAUGGAUAAUUUUCAGUUGAAACAGCUUUGUCAGAUAACCUAAGUAUCAUUGCAUCCAGUUGCUUCCUUUUAACGUUUAGCCGUAUGCAUGUUACGCGAGCACUCUACUGCAGCCCUAACUCAUGUCACCAGUUACCGUGCUUACCAAUCACAGCUUGUCUUGAGUGUAGCAGCAGUGCUGUAGCGGAGGGGCUGGGGAGGUGAAGAAGACGUUAGUCUCGUGUUAUCUCGUUUUGUGUCGGGUGUGCUGUGUCGUUCGUUGAAUAAACGCUUAUAAAUCCCAAAACAGAAGGAAAUAAUAUUGUGUGUUUUUGACGUUAAUUGUUAGUAACGUCUCGUAUGCUAGUAAGUUGUGUUAGGAUACCGUGGUUACACAUUCUCAAGUGAGUAAGUGAUGUAAAACUGCAGAGACAGCAUCAAUGCAUGCAGAUUUGAAGUGCUGUGUAUUACGAAUAUUCGUGAGCUCAAAGUCAGCGUGUGUAUCUUAACUUAUUUGAAUAUAAUCUUAAUGGUGUUAUGUAGGAUUAGGGGUUUUCCUCUUAGUGGUAUCAGUUUGACGUGGCUUCCUUGCACUUCUUCAGGAUUUAUGGAAAUGGCUUUCGUGGCGAAUGCUACGCCGUCAGGACUGAGGAAGGUACCCGAACGGGCAGAACUUGCGAAGUGUAUGGAGACAUCUAAGCGUAGUUACAAGAGAAUGACAGGAGGAGCGCUGUUGUGAUACAUUUUGAAGCGGUGAUGGACAUUCUAUC
Long non-coding RNA from Cryptotermes secundus, 857 nucleotides. RefSeq lists it as uncharacterized. The record is from RefSeq and is a predicted model, not a curated record. The transcript has 3 exons. Lineage: Eukaryota; Metazoa; Arthropoda; Insecta; Blattodea; Kalotermitidae.